Brassica napus (rape) is the source of this 838-nucleotide long non-coding RNA. RefSeq lists it as uncharacterized. NCBI's taxonomy places the organism in Eukaryota, Viridiplantae, Streptophyta, Magnoliopsida, Brassicales, Brassicaceae. The transcript is spliced from 5 exons. The record is from RefSeq and is a predicted model, not a curated record.
AGCGGUUCAGACCACGUGUCAAUCAGUCACUGUCUUCUCUUUCCUUCUCCACAUCUUCUCCUCGUCUCUUACAGAAGCUGGAGUUCGGUAAUAAGUCUAGCUUUAGCUUCCUCCACUCUCUCUCCAUCUCCUUCCAUUAGGAGAAUGGUGGUGGUCUGACAAAUUGGACCUUAUUCCUUGUGUAUGUUUACUGAAAUCAAUAUAUCUUGCGAUUAUGGAGCUCUAAUCUCCAUUUUUUUCUUAUGAGUCUAAUGCCUCUCCUGGAUUUAAAGCCAAUGGAACAUCUGAGAGGCAAAGAUGUUGUUGUUUGCACUCCUCCACCACGUCUUCCUGUGCAAAGAAUAAUGGUUAUUCCUGCUUCCGCUCCGUUCCAGAUGCUUUAGCUGUUAACUCUGAUGGUCGUUACUUGACGACUAGAGGAGUUGAUCGCCAUGUUCAUAAGGUCCAAUUUGUCUCAGCUUUUAUGAUUAUGUGUCUACAGGCCUUUACAGGUCACAGGAACAUCUGCCUCUGACUCUUUGCCUUCUAUAUAAUAUAUAUUCUGUAGUUUGUGUAUUGUGUUACAGGAAGGUAGAUAAGGCAGAGAAGCUUGAUGGAGGAGAAGGUGGCAAAAGGGGUGAGUCAUUAGUGGCGAGGACAUUAGGUGUUUAGAGUGGAGAAGGUCCAAGCUCCGGUAUGUGACUAGAAGACGGUGACGUUGGAGAUAGAACUUUGGGUUUAGAAUUUUAGGUGUAGGUUUAAUUGUUUUUAAAAAAAUUAGUUAAGUUUGAUAUACCUGUCAUAACUAUGUAACCAAUUUCAAUAUAUAAAAAAAUUAAUAUAAAUUUGUAUUUUUAUA